This 603-nucleotide ribosomal RNA is filed under the name Triticum aestivum (bread wheat). RNAcentral's name for it is "partial small subunit ribosomal RNA". The record is from RNAcentral. Lineage: Eukaryota; Viridiplantae; Streptophyta; Magnoliopsida; Poales; Poaceae.
AUGCGGGAGGAGAUGGCGAUGUGCAAGAUCAGAGACGUCAGUGAGCUAUAUGCCCUGGCCGACAAGUGCGCACGUGCUGAGGAAGGGAGGAAACUCCCUGGAGAGAAUACAGAAGCAGGAGGAUCUGAUAGUGAGGAUGCUGCCCCGGCAAAGAAAGGCCGGCGGCGAAACAACAGGAAGAAGAAAGGCAAAGGUGUGCUAGUUGUUGAGCAGUCCGGCAACGGAGGUGGCGCCAAGAAAGCCAAAGCUGGUAGCUCCGGCAAGGAGAUUGCCGCGGGCACCAGCUAUCAGGCUGUGGCGGUCGCCGACAAGCAGGACGGCACCAACAAGCAGUACUGCAAGAUCCACCGCACCAAGGGCCAUGACCUCCAGAGCUGCAAGAAGGUCGAGCAGCUUGUCGAGCAGCAAAAGGCUGAGUACGAGCGACGCGACAAGGAGAAGGCCCAGGAAGGUGCUGGAGGAGCCGGCAAGAAACUCCCCGGCCGAGGAGGACGCCGCGGUAAGGCCAAGCAGCGGAAAGGAGAUAGACCUCCCCGCGGCCGCGACAAGGAUGAAGAGGACGAUGACGAUGAAGAUAUGGAUGACGACGAGGCCGAUGAGUAG